Molecule: transfer RNA, 75 nt
Filed under: Opitutales bacterium
Lineage: Bacteria; Pseudomonadati; Verrucomicrobiota; Opitutia; Opitutales
Also listed under: 2 other names
Description: tRNA-Arg
Rfam family: tRNA
About the family: Transfer RNA (tRNA) molecules are approximately 80 nucleotides in length. Their secondary structure includes four short double-helical elements and three loops (D, anti-codon, and T loops).
Source: RNAcentral
GCUCCCGUAGUUCAAUGGAUAGAACGUCGGUUUCCGGAGCCGAAGAUGGCAGUUCGAAUCUGUUCGGGAGUACCA